AACAGGAUUAGAUACCCUGGUAGUCCACGCCCUAAACGAUGUCUACUAGUUGUCGGGUCUUAAUUGACUUGGUAACGCAGCUAACGCGUGAAGUAGACCGCCUGGGGAGUACGGUCGCAAGAUUAAAACUCAAAGGAAUUGACGGGGACCCGCACAAGCGGUGGAUGAUGUGGAUUAAUUCGAUGCAACGCGAAAAACCUUACCUACCCUUGACAUGUACAGAAUCCCGAAGAGAUUUGGGAGUGUUCGAAAGAAAACUGUAACACAGGUGCUGCAUGGCUGUCGUCAGCUCGUGUCGUGAGAUGUUGGGUUAAGUCCCGCAACGAGCGCAACCCUUGUCAUUAGUUGCUACGAAAGGGCACUCUAAUGAGACUGCCGGUGACAAACCGGAGGAAGGUGGGGAUGACGUCAAGUCCUCAUGGCCCUUAUGGGUAGGGCUUCACACGUCAUACAAUGGUACAUACAGAGGGCCGCCAACCCGCGAGGGGGAGCUAAUCCCAGAAAGUGUAUCGUAGUCCGGAUUGUAGUCUGCAACUCGACUACAUGAAGUUGGAAUCGCUAGUAAUCGCGGAUCAGCAUGUCGCGGUGAAUACGUUCCCGGGUCUUGUACACACCGCCCGUCACACCAUGGGAGCGGGUUUUACCAGAAGUAGGUAGCCUAACCGUAAGGAGGGCGCUUACCACGGUAGGAUUCGUGACUGGGGUGAAGUCGUAACAAGGUAGCCGUA
This 728-nucleotide ribosomal RNA is filed under the name uncultured endophytic bacterium. RNAcentral describes it as "bacterial SSU rRNA". It matches the Rfam family "Bacterial small subunit ribosomal RNA", at positions 771 to 1504 of the family's 1533-position model. The record is from RNAcentral.